This 471-nucleotide ribosomal RNA is filed under the name uncultured Methanolinea sp. Its description in RNAcentral is "bacterial SSU rRNA". It matches the Rfam family "Archaeal small subunit ribosomal RNA", at positions 871 to 1337 of the family's 1478-position model. Lineage: Archaea; Methanobacteriati; Methanobacteriota; Methanomicrobia; Methanomicrobiales; Methanoregulaceae. The record is from RNAcentral.
UUGACGGGGAGCACCACACGGGUGGAGCUUGCGGUUUAAUUGGAUUCAACGCCGGAAUCUUACCGGGACCGACAGCAAUAUGAAGGCCAGGCUGAAGACUUUGCCGGAUUAGCUGAGAGGUGGUGCAUGGCCGUCGUCAGUUCGUACUGUGAAGCAUCCUGUUAAGUCAGGCAACGAGCGAGACCCACGCCCACAGUUGCCAGCGUACUCUCUGGAGUGACGGGUACACUGUGGGGACCGCCUCUGCUAAAGAGGAGGAAGGAAUGGGCAACGGUAGGUCAGCAUGCCCCGAAUUAUCCGGGCUACACGCGGGCUACAAUGGUCAGGACAAUGGGCAUCAACACCGAAAGGUGAAGGCAAUCUCUUAAACCUGUCCUUAGUUCGGAUUGUGGGCUGCAACUCGCCCACAUGAAGCUGGAAUCUGUAGUAAUCGCGUCUCAAAAUGGCGCGGUGAAUAUGUCCCUGCUCCUU